Molecule: ribosomal RNA, 693 nt
Filed under: uncultured bacterium
Lineage: Bacteria
Description: bacterial SSU rRNA
Rfam family: Bacterial small subunit ribosomal RNA
Source: RNAcentral
UAACGCGUGGGUAACCUGGCCCAUACAGGGGGAUAACACUUAGAAAUAGGUGCUAAUACCGCAUAACAACAGAAAGCGCAUGCUUUUUGUUUGAAAACCAAGGUGGUAUGGGAUGGACCCGCGUCUGAUUAGCUGGUUGGCGGGGUAAAGGCCCACCAAGGCGACGAUCAGUAGCCGGCCUGAGAGGGUGGACGGCCACAUUGGGACUGAGACACGGCCCAAACUCCUACGGGAGGCAGCAGUGGGGAAUAUUGCACAAUGGGGGAAACCCUGAUGCAGCGACGCCGCGUGAGUGAAGAAGUAAUUCGUUAUGUAAAGCUCUAUCAGCAGGGAAGAAAAUGACGGUACCUGAGUAAGAAGCCCCGGCUAACUACGUGCCAGCAGCCGCGGUAAUACGUAGGGGGCAAGCGUUAUCCGGAUUUACUGGGUGUAAAGGGAGCGUAGACGGCAGUGCAAGUCUGGAGUGAAAGGCGGGGGCUCAACCCCCGGACUGCUCUGGAAACUGUACGGCUGGAGUGCAGGAGAGGUAGGCGGAAUUCCUAGUGUAGCGGUGAAAUGCGUAGAUAUUAGGAGGAACACCAGUGGCGAAGGCGGCUUACUGGACCGUAACUGACGUUGAGGCCCGAAAGCGUGGGGAGCAAACAGGAUUAGAUACCCUGGUAGUCCACGCCGUAAACGAUGACUACUAGGUGU